CUUAAUUUAUUGGACAGAUUAGAUCUUGAUGAUCCAAUAGAGAAAAAGGACAAAGCAUCAUUAUCGGAGCAGUUGAAGUCUAUGCCUAAGAUUUCUGUUGAUUGUGUGGUUUCUAAUCACGGGUGCAUAUGCCACAGGGCGGGCUGUUGGCAAUGCAUGCCAUUGGACGUCCUAAAGUCCCGUUCUGUUCAACAGUUAGUGGAUUUGAAGUAUCAAUUCUUUUGCAAGCGUCUUGGUCUCAGUCUACUUAGACGAUCAGGAAAUCAUGCUAAAGUUUCUGAAACGGCUGAUAUUUUUGGGAGAAGCCUUCAUUUCUUAUUCAACAGAGCUUAUACCUCCAACGGUGACUGAACUAUUUAUAAUUCAUUAUUGACACGGCAGGUCCAAGGGACUGCCUUGGCAAUUGAGCAAGCAGAGCUUCUAUACUACGCAACCUUUUUGAGAAUUUGUGCUAGUGAUACCAGUAUUGAUAGAGGAGGAAACUUGACUAUAUAUGCUGAUGCUAGCCUUGGUGCUUUCCCGUGAAGUGCCUCCGCUAUUUCAGAAGGUUUCACGAUUGCUAGCUGCGGUACUUUCAUUUUUGGCGUCGAAGGACCCGUCCCGUUUGUUGUUUGUGUGAAUGUUUUAGAAUUGGCUUCAUAUAUGCAGCAAGUUUCACAGGGUUCGCGCAUCAAUGUAAUUAGCAAGGGGGGAUCAAAGACACAGACUCCUAGGUUGUUCUUAUCAAUUAACAGAAUAAUGUGUUUCAUCCGGUGAAUCAUUGUAACAGGGUUUUCCCUCUAAUCUUCCUACCUUACAACCUUGCACCUGACUCUAUUGAUGGAUUCCCAGACUAAUCUUAUUUUCAGAAAAAUUCCUCCCAGCUUAAGAAUUAUCUGUAUAACUGUGCUCGGACAAUCUUAUGUUCCACUAUUUAAACCAUUGUUCGGUUCAUGUCCUGCUGCUUGGAUUCUUAUAUCAUGCUUAAUGUAUGGGGAAAACCCUAUUGUGUUGUUUCUACCCGUGAAGAAAAUCUUAAAAGGUAACUUCGCUUAUUGCAGGCACAGA
Rosa rugosa (rugosa rose) is the source of this 1047-nucleotide long non-coding RNA. RefSeq lists it as uncharacterized. The record is from RefSeq and is a predicted model, not a curated record. The transcript is spliced from 5 exons. Lineage: Eukaryota; Viridiplantae; Streptophyta; Magnoliopsida; Rosales; Rosaceae.